CGUCACAGACAGACGGACUUCACCCACAGACUUUUGUCUGGAGAGAACACUGAGGACCUGCUCCACACUCUCAGGUGAGAGGCUGCUCUGUGCCACGCUGUGAAUGAGCACAUACAGACCAAUCUCAAUCUCUCUCUUCUGGUCUCUUUAUUAUGCACUCACACAUUAUACAUGUGUGUUCAUGUUCUCUUUACUUUAAUUAACCCUGACCUGUUUGUUAUUAAGAUAAACUAUGUCUAAGGAAGACAGGAUGGCAGAUUUGUUAAUGUUAAUCCCCAACACUGCAAAGCUAAACUGGGUAGAAACUGGAUUCAGUCCUGGACGGCACAAACAGAAGGGAAGACAACAAGCAUAUAACACAAGGAACACACUAUUUUUGCUCUACCUAAUGUAGAGUUGAAAAGAUAGAAGUUGUACAAGUUCUUUAUAAUCACAAAUCACAAAUAUAAAAUGAUUACCUCAGUUCAGUCAGGAUCUUUCCCUCCCCCAGAGCUGAGAUCAGGACACCAACAUCAGCAUCUGACAGCCUCUCCACAUGUAACCUUUCAACAACAUGAAGACAGCCAUCAGACCAUUCAACCACAACAGAUCAGUUCUCUCACAAACAGACCACAGCAUGACACACAGAUGAAGCUGAACGUAUGAAAACACUGAUGGCCAGAUGUUUCCACAUGGCCAGAGUACCCCAUGAGUAGAAUUACUCACAUCCAAAUCCACUGGCUGGUGUGACAUUUUCUACUGAAUAUGAUUACAGCAACAGAUCAGUUAACAAGUCAAAGGCUCAGGAAAAGAGCACAACUGUUUUGAUACAGAGCAUGAAAUUACUCAUUACUCAUACCCUCACCUGGUAUCAAAUCUCUUUUGUAUAUUAAUUUCAUAUUCAAACUAUGUAUAUUCAUUUUUUUGGGAAUAUUAUAAAAAUACUCAAAGUCGCAUAAAGGUCUAUUUGGCACACGACUGAUGAAACAAUUUACUUUUUGAUCACCUCUUGAAUUGUUGCACAGUUAUACUUGUGAUGAAAUGAUUGUAUGGUGUUGUAGUGGUGUGUGGAAAUAUCCAGUCUAGUUAUAACAUAUUAUGGAAGGCAAUCUGUAUUAUAUUGUGUUAAUCUUGGUCACCUGAUAUGACUGUAUAUAAUGCCAUCUGAAGACAAAUUUCUCUCUUCAAAGAUACACUCACCCCAGCUCCUCACACCUGCUCAGUGCAGGCUGCAGCAUCCUCAGCUUCACACACACACACACACACACACACACACCCCAGCUCCUCACACCUGCUUAGUGCAGGCUGCAGCAUCAUCAGCUUCACACACACACACACACACACACUCACCCCAGCACCUUACACCGGCUCAGUGCAGGCUGCAGCAUCAUC
Molecule: long non-coding RNA, 1371 nt
Organism: Clupea harengus (Atlantic herring)
Lineage: Eukaryota; Metazoa; Chordata; Actinopteri; Clupeiformes; Clupeidae
Source: Ensembl